GGAAGUAAAAUCGUAACAAGGUCUCCGUUGGUGAACCAGCGGAGGGAUCAUUACCGAGUUUACAACUCCCAAACCCCUGUGAACAUACCUAACUGUUGCUUCGGCGGGCAGAGGUCCCUCGCGGAUCUCUCCCGGCAACGCCCUCACGGGCGGAGCGCCCGCCGGAGGAUACCAAACUCUAUUUUAACGACGUUUCUUCUGAGUGGCACAAGCAAAUAAUUAAAACUUUUAACAACGGAUCUCUUGGUUCUG
This 252-nucleotide unclassified non-coding RNA is filed under the name plant metagenome. RNAcentral's name for it is "partial contains small subunit ribosomal RNA, internal transcribed spacer 1, and 5.8S ribosomal RNA". The stretch from base 1 to 53 matches the Rfam family "Eukaryotic small subunit ribosomal RNA", at positions 1778 to 1831 of the family's 1831-position model. The record is from RNAcentral.